This 460-nucleotide ribosomal RNA is filed under the name uncultured bacterium. Its description in RNAcentral is "partial 16S ribosomal RNA". It matches the Rfam family "Bacterial small subunit ribosomal RNA", at positions 338 to 795 of the family's 1533-position model. The record is from RNAcentral.
CCUACGGGUGGCAGCAGUGAGGAAUAUUGGUCAAUGGACGAGAGUCUGAACCAGCCAAGUAGCGUGAAGGAUGACUGCCCUAUGGGUUGUAAACUUCUUUUAUAUGGGAAUAAAACGUUCCACGUGUGGGAUUUUGUAUGUACCAUAUGAAUAAGGAUCGGCUAACUCCGUGCCAGCAGCCGCGGUAAUACGGAGGAUCCGAGCGUUAUCCGGAUUUAUUGGGUUUAAAGGGAGCGUAGGUGGAUUGUUAAGUCAGUUGUGAAAGUUUGCGGCUCAACCGUAAAAUUGCAGUUGAAACUGGCAGUCUUGAGCACAGUAGAGGUGGGCGGAAUUCGUGGUGUAGCGGUGAAAUGCUUAGAUAUCACGAAGAACUCCGAUUGCGAAGGCAGUUCACUGGACUGCAACUGACACUGAGGCUCGAAAGUGUGGGUAUCAAACAGGAUUAGAUACCCUUGUAGUC